This is a non-coding RNA of Podarcis lilfordi (Lilford's wall lizard), 6900 nucleotides long. NCBI's taxonomy places the organism in Eukaryota, Metazoa, Chordata, Lepidosauria, Squamata, Lacertidae. The record is from the annotation of a GenBank genome assembly.
GGUGGGUGGGCAACAUCUAGAUUUAUUCUUUCUGUGUUCUUCCACUGUAAGCUAUGGGCAGGAAUACAAUUCACUACCUGCACUUCAAGUGGAGUCUAGUGCUGUGUCCAUCUCAUUUUGUUAGAGCCACACAGUGAAUGAGACAUUGCUGUGUGGGUGGUCUUUGUCCUCUCCCCUUUCUCCACCGUUCACAACUACCUUAUUCCUUUAUCUUGCUAUUGUAAAGUAGCUGAUUUCAGUACUGUAUUCUGUGUAUGUUUUUGUUUUCGAACCAGUAUGGAUGCACAUCUUUUUUGAAAAUAUAGAUAGGUGUUUGUCAACUGUUCUACUGUUAGUGUAAUCACAUUUUUUUCAAAGUGCCUAAAAAUAGUAGUGAUUAAAAAGUGACUAAUGCUACAGCGUCUAGGUGACAUACAGUACAGUGACUUGUUUGAACAACACAGUAAGCCAAACUAUGGUUUACUGAGACCACACAAUGUGUGAGCACGCUGCCAGGAGUUCACAGUCACUUGUAUCCUCCCUAAUCCUAUUUGCUUCUGCAUCAUGCUUAGCUAAACCAACAGCUUCACUAUCACCCAUGGUUGUGUUUUCGGGCUGACAAGAGUUGUAGUUCAACAACCUGGGCCUUAGCUCAGUUGGUUAGAGCAUGGUGCUGAUAAUGCCAAGGUUGCAGGUUUGAUACCCUUAUGGGACAACUGCCUAUUCCUGCAUUGCAGGGGGUUGAACUCAGAGUCCCUUCCAACUCUAUAAUUCUAUGAUUCUAACCUCUGGAGAGCACCACAUUUGCCAUCUCUAGUCUAAAGCCAGGAGAAGUUCAUAUAAAUUUAGGUCUUUUCAAGAAACAGAGAAAAUGUGAGAGGGAGGUGGGGAAAUAUAGUUCAAACACAAUGCUGCUUUUAAAAAUACAUAACUCCAACACUUCAAACUGCAGUAUUGUAUCACUGUAUGAAACUUUAUUUUGGUAUGAUAAAUUUGCACCUGUCACCCUGUCAUUCUUUUCUUCCUGCUUGUGACAAAGAGGUUCAUGAUUGCAGAGUACAAGUGUUGUGUGUGUGUGACCAUAGCCUUUAUGUAGAGAAAGAGACUGCAGGGCUUCUGUGAAGUCUUUUAAUUUCUGUAUUUCCCCCCCCAAAAUGCACUUUUUAAAUGAAGUAUCUUUCUGGUGCCUUUAAAAGCAAACUAGAUUAGUGAAAUCUGUAGGUGUAAUUGCCAAUACUAAACAUCUUAAAAUACUUUUUGGGUGGGCAGUAUAGAUUUUAUUUCAGUUGCAACUUCAGCACCAAAUGCCAGUUUCUUAUUUGUGUGUGUAUGGUGGGGAAGCCUUGGUUUUGUUCACUCCUUUUCUAGGGCUCAGAACCUUCAGAAUUCAAAUGGUUUGUUCUUGGUUGUGGUCAGUAAAUGGUUGGCUCUCUAUGUGCUCCACAGUACUGUCUCUAGCACAUGCAGGAUGCUAUCUGGAAGGCUGAGACCAGGACAGUCCCAUCCAUGAGACAAACCAAGGCAGCCACCUCAGGCAGCAGAAUCCAAGGGGCACCUCUGUGGACACACCCUCUCACUGCCAGAGGAGCAGCUGCGGUAGCUUCCAGAUUCUAGCGAGAUCUCACGAGAGCCCCAUGAGAUCCUUCAAGGCCUCUGAAGGCCUCCACAUGAUUUUGCCAGAAGCCACAGGCAUGACCAUGGUAAGCGAGGAUUCGACAGGGGCAGCAAGGGGAUGCAGGCGGCACAGGUUCAGGGCAGCCCGUUCCCAUUUCAACUCAGGUUGCAAAAUUGGAUGGCUGAGGCAGACAGCAGCAUUGACACCUACUCCUGAGAAGUCACUGCCACAUAAUUUGCCAGUGCUUUGCUACCACAGGAAAGACUCCGGAGCCAGCAGCAAACUCUGUCAAAGCCUAGAUGUGUCCUAAUCUCUGCGAGUGUUGACAGCUUUGAUAGCAGGCUCAGGGAUUGGUGUGUUACUGGAAAGCCACCACAGGUGGUGGGGCGACAUCAAAGAGGUGUUGCCGCAAGGGCUGAGGUGAUCAACAAUCCUGUUGGACCCUGAUGAGAGACAGUGCCUAGGUGACAUGGGAUAGGGUCCUCCCUCCCCCACCCUUUGCUAGCAGUUUUGGGAAGUUUUCUUGCAUUGCUCAGCAUGCUCUGAGAUCGAAGAUUUCUGUUGCAGGGGGGGAUUUCUGUAGAGAGCAGUCUUUCUUCCUGACUUGGCAUUUGAUUUUCUUUGUUUGCUGGAAUAUAAAUUACUGGUUUAAUUUUUUUUUUGCUGUUUUGACAUAUUUCUGAACCCUCCCAGUUUUUCAGAAAGUAGGGAAGUGGCAUAUACAGUGGUACCUCGGGUUAAGUACUUAAUUCGUUCUGGAGUUCCGUUCUUAACCUGAAACUGUUCUUAACCUGAAGCACCACUUUAGCUAAUGCGGCCUCCUGCUGCUGCUGUGCUGCCGGAGCCCGAUUUCUGUCCUCAUCCUGAAGCAAAGUUCUUAACCUGAAGCACUAUUCCUGGGUUAGCAGAGUCUGUAACCUGAAGCGUAUGUAACCUGAAGCGUAUGUAACCCGAGGUACCACUGUAAAUGAUUUUUGUAUGUGUGUGAAAUUGGUAACUACUAUGGAGGUUUUAUGGUUGGUCUGCUAGGUAGCCCCAAUUUCACUACUAAUAACACCACCUACUUCAUAGGGCUGUUAAUCUCCUUGGAGGAAAGGAGAGAUAUAAAUGUAGUACAGUACUGUAAAUCUAUUGCUGUGCACAUACUAGUGUCACUUAUCUCACAUGUCUGCAUGAGAACCGUGCAUCAGUAGACUGCCGGCCCCUUUGUCUUUGGGUUUAGUCCAUGACUUACUGGAUAUGCCAUGUAAUAUAUUUAGCCCCAUCUGGAUUUCCAUCCAAUUCUGAUGAUUAAUUUGUAGGUACUGUGUCACCUUGAGUACAGUAGUUUUGGAAUUGGCCCAGGAACUUAAUGGUAUGAGGAAUUAUAGCUACUGAUGUCAUUAAAGGCGAGUUUCUUUUAAAGCUGUCACCUCUUUUUUUACAUUCCUAGUUAAUAUAUAUUGGAGGGGGAAGUGCUAUAAUUUCCAGAUUCUAAGAUGGGCAAAAGAAAGACCAUAAUAUAAAAUUAUAAAACCAUAAUGUAAUGUAAAACCAUUCCUAGUAGUGACAUUAGCCUGCAUGCAGUGCUACAUUACUCCAUUCAGAAGUGAAAUUUGGGGUUGCAGGAAGGACAGCUUAUUUCAUUUAGAGAGUAGGUCUGACUGUUAUCUUGGUGUCUCAGUAUGUAAAGUUUUUCUUGUGUUAGGUUAACAGAAAAUGAUAGACACAUUUAGAAAAUGUCCCGUUCUCCCCACCCCCCGCCAUUUAUUUUAUUUUAACCAUAAGGCACACCAACCGAUUAUUAGAUUGUAAAACAAAAAGAAAGCCCCAACAGCACAUGGCCUAGAAGUUUUUUUGGCUGAGAUGAGACCUUCUCCCAGCUCUCUUCCAGCUGGGAGAAGACUGCUAAGGAACAGAGCAUGUUAAAUAUUCAAAGGUCUGACCCUGUGGGCUAGUCUGUUCAGUCCCCUUCCUGUGGAUUUUCUCUUCCCCGAGAUAAAUUCUUUUCAAAUUCAUACUUUCUGUUUUGUGGGGAGAAAGCAUAAUUUCAGGGGGAAGGACAGGUCAACUUUAAAGAAGCUGAAAGGGGAGCAUAAUAGAACAUAUGAGUCAGGAACUUCAUUUCCCAUUAUCACCCCUGCUGACAGAAUUCCACUUUCCUAGCAGUUCUGCUUUGAGGGUAUGUAGGUUAUUUGGAGAAGCAAAUAUGCAUUCAAGUCCUUGAGAUAAGAAUGCUUUUGCACAGGGAAGGCUAUCGGUCUUUUGGACUCUCUAGUUAGAGCUCUAAAAGUCUGGAUUAAGAAAUUUUGAUUCAAGGUAAGAUUGGUACUUUUUUGUGAAAUCACCCAAGGCUUAGAGGACCAACCUGAAUGCAGGAGAGGCAAGCAAUUCUACAAAUAUGACAGUAUCAGGACAGAUAAAGGAUUCUGCCAGACAGUCUUAAAACCAUCCCUUUUUGCUUCCAUGAUUUGUACAGUUUUUCCCCAUCGUUCCCCUAACAAAUCACUUGUUUGUAUUUUAAAGUACUCACAGUUGCAUUAACGUUAUAGAAAUGUUGCACUUUAGUGCUGGCUCUCAAAAAUCUGCCUCUGGAUUUAUAGGCUCCCCCAAAGUGGAUGGGCAUUGCCAUUCAAAUGGUGUCCAUGUAUUGCAUCUUGUGAUCAAUUAUGUGGGGUAGGGGUUACUUGGGCCCCCCCAAUAUUCAAGUUGGCACCCCUGGUGGGAGGAUUGGAUUAGAUACUGCAUUGGCUAUGCCAAGGCAGCAGAAUCCCAUGCAAAACCCAUUAAAGCAAUACCAAUUUAUAAUACAAUUAUUAAUACCAAUCUUUCAAAUACCAAAUUACAGUGGUACCUUGAGUUACAAACGCCUCAGGUUACAAAUGCUUCAGGUUACAAACUCCGCUAACCUGGAAGAGUUAAGGCAGAGCGGAACCAGAAGCCCUGAUUCAGGAAGAGGUUUGUAUGGGAAUCUUGCAAAAACAAAAGGUUUUCAGGCAGUCCUGUGUUUUGAAGUUCUGACAAUCAUGGCUUCAGAGCACAGUAUCACUUGAUGUCAUAGUGAUGUCAGGUGAGCAGCCACUCUAUGUUUUCCAUUGAUAGUAUUUGGGAGGAGGUGCAGUAAGAGGGCCACAAGACUAUGCUUUGCCCUGGAUCCCAGGUUACCGCUGGGUAGCCCUGGGCAAUACUCAUUAGUUAUUAAUAAUACUGGGAACAUUUUGGCUAACUUUCCACAACUAGAUGCACCAGGAAAUAUGUGAAUGACCUGUGGUAUCUGAGCCAUUUUGAAGAAAACAGAGCUACUAAAAAGAAAAUGGAAUGAUUCUGAAUACAAAUUCUGCUUUCUAGUUUCUUAAUUCAAUAUUUCUUGUUUGUAAGAUUUCCUCCCCUACCCUGCUUAAAGAACCUUUUGGUCUCUCACCUUCCGUUUACCUUUUGUCUGCUUUCUGGCAGCCACAGUAGUAUCUUCUUGCCAGUAGGGUGUGUGAGCACAUCUGUUUGAAGCCAACAGCAAUAUUGGUCUUAGGAGUCUGUUUUCAGGGCCUCUCCCGAAGACUGGACACUUUCCUUUAUGUACUGUGGCAUUCCGCACACAGUCUUAGUGCCUGGGAACCCCAUACUAUUCAUUUCUGAGAGAGGCUAUAAAAACAAAAUUUGUGCCUGGAUUUGUAUUGGCUUGUUUUUUUGCAUGAGGGGUUAAAUUCCAGUUUUGCACGCCAAGCUUUUCCAUGCUGCUGUUCAUCCGAGACACAAAGAGAAUACCAAGAGACAAAACAGGAUGAAACUCGAGUAAACAACAUAAAUGUCAAUAAAGGUUUGGAAUGCUGAAAGUGAAUUGCUAGUUGUUCUUGACAUAGCUAAAACAUAUAAAAGAAUCUGAAAAUGUGAGGUCUUGGUGUGUCAUAUGGAAAACUACAGCAGUCAAUUGCUUUUACACUGUUUCUCAAACAAACGUGAGGAUCUGAGACUCAGCUUGGAUGGGAGAAAGACACAUGGUAAUAUGUUCAAGGUCUGGCACCAUCACAUCAGGCGCACACAAUUGAAUUCAAUUGGCCUUUAUUUCUCCUGGAUGUAUCGGGUUUGUAUAUGUAGGGGGUACUUUGGCUGUAUCUCAUACACUUAGUAAGGCAGAAUAUGUAUGUGAUGCACACCUGUUUUGCUUCUCCCUUUGGACCAGUGGUCAAUAACUUCCAGAUAAUAUAACCAUUUAAACAUGAGUAAAACUACUUUUGAGCCUAGUUUAAUUCAGGGGUUGGCAAGGUUUACCUCGCCUGGGCCGGUUCACGCCAGCGGAGAUCCCUCUGUGGGCCGGGUUUCCAGCAUCUGCGUCAGCAUAGACGCGAUUUCCAGCACCAUGGAAGCGAGUCCCCGCGCCACACUGUGCUGAUUUAGCGCAGUGCGUGGGGACUCACCGAGCGGGCGACUCGGUUCAAGGGCGGCUUGUGGGCCAGUUAAAUGACCCCCAUGAGCCGCUUGUGGCCCAUGGGCCUUAGGUUGCCUACCCCUGGUUUAAUUCAUAAAUGUGAUGUCUUACGGGCUCAUAACUUGGCAUUCUCAAUCUCAAGAUUAAAAGGCAUUGAACAAUCUUAUAAAGAGCAUUGGGUGUUAUUUGCAAAAAGGCUAGACAGUGCUAUGUGCAAGACUAAAUUGCAGCUCUGCAUUGAAUUGGCACAUUGCAUCAGAUUGUUUCUAUACUUCUGCUUAUAAUAAUUAGAGUCAUAGGCACCCCUUAACGAAUAAUCAAGCAUAGUCUGAAACGGGCGAGGGGGGGGGAGCUAAUCCCACCCUCCCUUAAUAGCCUCUUUAAUGAUUCACAAGAAUGCCAAGAUAAAACGAGCACAAUGUGAUAAAUUAGCAAUAAUCUAGAAUUUUCUGCUUGGGGGUGUUGAUAUAAGCGAACAUCUUUUCCCAGCCAAUUACACAAUACAUUAGAGGUAACUCUACAAAAACAUAAUUUUGUCACAAAAUCAGUAAGUCAGUAUGGUACAUUGUUGGAUUUGGGAUUAAAUAUCCAAAUUACACUGAAGUAAUGAAUUCACUCAGUGUCCUUAUCCUUCUGAAAUAUGUUUAUUUCUCAGCUUGCUUUCUUGACAUCAGUAGAAUUUGGAAGUACCAUGGGAAUCCAAGUGUUACCUAUAUGUGGCAAUAACUGUGUGUUUGGCAACUGUGCUGUGUGUGGUUUUUUUUAAAUCAAAUACAAGGUGCAUGGAUUAUGAGGAUUCCAGUUUGCAGGAAGGGAAUGUUUUUUUUUUUUUUUCCUGUAUCUGAGCUCCUUUGCUGGAGCCAGUUUUAUUUUUUUUUUUUAAAUCAUAUUUAUUAAAGUUUCC